RNAcentral lists this ribosomal RNA (345 nucleotides) under uncultured bacterium. RNAcentral describes it as "bacterial SSU rRNA". It matches the Rfam family "Bacterial small subunit ribosomal RNA", at positions 8 to 334 of the family's 1533-position model. The record is from RNAcentral.
AGAGUUUGAUCAUGGCUCAGGACGAACGCUGGCGGCGUGCUUAACACAUGCAAGUCGAGCGGGGAUACCGUUGGAAGUCCUUCGGGAUGGAAGACGGUAUUCUAGCGGCGGACGGGUGAGUAACGCGUGAACAAUCUGUCCCAGACAGGGGGAUAACAGAUGGAAACAUCUGCUAAUACCGCAUAAGACCACGGGGUCGCAUGGCCCUGAGGUAAAAGGAGCAAUCCGGUCUGGGGUGAGUUCGCGUCCGAUUAGCUAGUUGGCGAGGUAACGGCCCACCAAGGCGACGAUCGGUAGCCGACCUGAGAGGGUGAUCGGCCACAUUGGGACUGAGACACGGCCCAA